This is a non-coding RNA of Chrysemys picta bellii (western painted turtle), 2546 nucleotides long. Lineage: Eukaryota; Metazoa; Chordata; Testudines; Emydidae. The record is from RefSeq and is a predicted model, not a curated record.
GGGGCACUUCCCAGAGGGGAGGCAGCAAGAGCAAUGGCUCAGGCCCUGACCUGGUGCUCAUGAGACCUGGGGUCUACUCCCGACUCUGCCACCCCCCUGCUGGGUGACCUUGGUCACAUCACUUUUUCCCUGUUUUUUCACCCUUUUGUGUGUUUAGACUGUAGGCCCUUUGGCUCAGGGACUGGUUCUCCUUCCAUGCCUGUGCAGCGGGGCCCUGCUCUCGGUUGGGUGCUCCUAUAGUACACUAAUAACUCUGAAUUUUGCCCAAUUCACCCUGUGGUGAAAAACAAUCCCCCCUGCCCCUUUGUUUUAGCAACGGUGUUUUGUUUUUGCAAGAGGAGAAGGAAAAUCUGCAAGGCUUGUGAGUUUCCACCGAGGGGCUGAUUUCUGGACAAGCCCAGCUGAGACAGGAAUGUGCCCACGAAUCCACAAUGUAAGCAAUGGGCCACUCAUCGUCCACAGUAAAAUGUUAUCACCUUCUCCUGAAGGGGCUCUUCCUGGAUUGGCCUCUCGCUGCAGAGAGCUGCCGGCUGCCAAGGCCAGCUUUUCUAAUUAUACCUGCGCCCUGCCAAAGGCUCUCCACAGUCAGAUCACCCAGGCCAUUGCAGGAGCUGCACUGGUUAUCCGGCCUCCUGUGCCCGCUCUACAGCAAGGGAACCUCGAAACCCUGAGCUGGGGGCUGGCAGCCCAGCGCGGGACAGACUUGCUCCAGUGCGUCGCCGCGUGAGUAUGUGGGUGACAUCUGAGCUAAUGGGGGAUUUGACAUUAUUUCCUUUCUAUUCCCCCCACUUCCCCGUUAGCUCCUUGAUUGUCACGCUCGUUACGCCUGGCCUGUGGGGGUUCUGAGAGCUUUGUCUGCAUGUUAGCCAAGCACAUGUUCUGCUUAAUACCUACUGCCCCUCCCCCCCAGCACACCCCAUUCCCAGGACCCCCCGGCACAUCCCUCCCCCCACCUCCUGUAGGAAUCCCGCCAUCCCCCACAUGCCAGAGACAGCAUGGUGGCUCCGUAGACAGGCUGUAUGUGGGGGGGGGGGCAGGCCAAAGGGCACUAAGACUGGAGGGUCACCAGGACCCAGGCUGGCAGGGAUGUGGAAGCUGUGGCCCUGGGGGUCAGCGCCUCCGGGUCGGGAGUGCAAACAUGGGGGGCUGAGUGGUUUAUUGAUGCUGGGGAACCUACAUCUCCCCAAGCGGCCUCCCCCGCCCCCAGCUGCUGGCCGGUUCCUCUUCGCUUAGAGGCCUCUAAGGGGGAAGCAGGAGACUCCUGAAGGACUGAGACCCUCCUGCGUGGAAGUCCCUGGAGCCCCACUGAGCCGCCCCCUUGUGCCCCAGGAGCCGAGGGGGAGGGGUGAAUCGCCUCUGAGGCCCCAGCUGCAUUGUCCCCACCCCACAGGGCAAUGCGGGCACCGGCCAGGUGGGGUCAACGCUGGGGGCUCAGUUCUGCCCUCAGCUCCACUCGCUUCCCCCUUGUACGUGAGGGCAGGGCUGGGGCCUCCCCCCUGCGAUCGGGAGCCCUGGGGCCCCCUGGGGUUUCUCAGACGCUGCCUCUGCAUCCUCGUACCCAAAGUCCUCCCCAGAGACAGCAGUGGGGGGUCAGAGCCAAGCCAGGCCCUCGGGAACCCGCUGACUAGAGGAGCGGCCUGGCAGCUGCUUCCCGGUAACCCAGCAGCGAUGCAGGGCCUGCUGCGCAGUGAAACUGCCCCACGCCGGCCGGAGUCUGCCGGGGCAGAAGGACAGAGGGGGAAGGGCGUGUUCAUCCCCCGGGCGCCAUCAAAUCCGCCCCGUGACACAGGAGCUCACAGUCGCACCGCUGAGCUUGGCUGAGGUGCCUGGGGCGUGAGACACACCCACCCCGUCGGUCCACAGGCUCUGCUCGGCCCGGUGUCCGUCAAGUGACUGUCAUGCACUUCAACGGUGCUGGCAAUUCGGUGUCAUGGCGGGGAAGACAAGGGGUGUUUACUGGUGUUUUGCCCCAAAUUUUCCCUCCCUGGCCCUCGCCCAGUUAUGUGCUGUCCAGCAGUCAUAUAGCUGCUACCCUCCACCCCAGAGUCAGCUGCAUUCCAUGGGUGCCAGCCCCUUUGCCAUCCCAGAUGAAAGUUUACACAGUAUCUCUCUGGGCCAUUCGUGUAUCCGCCUCACUGCGAUGUCAGCGCAGGCCUGCAGAUAGCCGGAGUAAACGUCUGCUGCAGUCUGCAGGGGGAGCAAAGGAGGGUUUUUGUAGGACCUAUAGAAAUGAUGGGCAGCGAGGAGGUUCGUGGCUUUCGUUUUGCAGUUUCCCGUGGAUGACGGUGGCCGAUUGCAGAGUGAAGCGAGAGAGCCACAGACGAGGGGCUAGGACAAUGGGGGAGGCUGACGCUUUCUGGUUGUGGGUCCCCAGCGGGAUAUACCUGGGAUCUGUCGGGGGGGGGGAGCUCAGCACCCACAGCUCCUGGGAGCGUUGUACUAGGGGCUCCCUCCAUUCCCCCACUGUGUACGUCUUUCCCCUCCCCCUCUAUUUCAGGGACUCCCCGCAACUCCUCCUAUCUCCCUGGUGCCAGGGGUUGUGUGUG